RNAcentral lists this ribosomal RNA (253 nucleotides) under uncultured bacterium. RNAcentral describes it as "partial 16S ribosomal RNA". It matches the Rfam family "Bacterial small subunit ribosomal RNA", at positions 524 to 776 of the family's 1533-position model. The record is from RNAcentral.
GACGAACCGAGCGAACGUUAUUCGGAAUUACUGGGCUUAAAGAGUUCGUAGGCGGCGCAGUAAGUAGGGUGUGAAAGCCCUCGGCUUAACCGAGGAAUUGCGCUCUAAACUACUGUGCUUGAGGAACCUAGAGGUGAGCAGAACUGAUGGUGGAGCGGUGAAAUGCGUUGAUAUCCUUAGGAACACCGGUGGCGAAAGCGGCUCACUGGGUCUCUUCUGACGCUGAGGCACGAAAGCUAGGGGAGCAAACGGG